GGAUUACAGGCAUGAGCCACCGCGCCUGCCGUAAUUCAUAUAUUUUGAUUACAAGGUUACAGUAAUUGUCAAAGUUGCAGUUUAGUUUCUGUUUCUAAUUCUCCCUAUUUUUAAAGUUGGUUUGGAGAAGGAAGAAUAGAGAUCUCAGUACUUGCUAUCAUUAACCACAAAUAUCUUUUUAAAUUUUGAAUAAACUAUUCCACAAUAAUAUCAAAACCAUAAAGCAUACUUAUUAUAGAAUUUUUUUACAACAAAUGCAUUACUUUUGUAAUAAUUUUAUAAAAAUCUAACUUUCUUCUCUUUUUUUUUUUUUUAAGAGACAGUCUUGCUCUCUUGUCAAGGCUAGAGUGUACAGUGGCACAAUCAUAGCAGCCUCAAGCUCCUGGGCUCAAUUGAUCCUUUUACCUUAGCCUCCCAAGUAGCUGGGACUACAGGCAUUAAUCACUGUGCCCAACUAAUUUUUUAAUUUAUUGUAGAGAUGGAGUCUCACUACAUUGCCCAGGCUGGUCUUGAACUCCUAGCCUCAAGUGAUCCUCCUGCUUCACCUCCCAAAGUGCUGGGAUUACAGGCGUGAGCCACCACAACCAGCCUGAAUUUCUUCUAAUUGAGUAUUAUUGUAGUAUCAAAAUCACUGUUCUGUAAACUGGAAACAGAUCAAUAUCUGGUCUUCUCUACAUUAAUAAACUUCUCCUUUUUAAAUAAAGAAGAAGUUAUGACAAACGCACUGAGGCAGUUCUCAGAAAAAAUCCUACAUAUUUUUCACUCUUUACCCCUAGCCUUCCACAGCUGGCGUUUUUUACCCUGAUUUUACUAAAGGUGAAGUUCACAUCACUUUCACUCUUUGGCAUUGAGUGCAAGAUAUAAAUAAGAAUGGAAAUAUACAAUAUAUAAAGCCCACAUAAUCUUAAUCAAAUGUCUUUUAGACCCUGAUAUAUAAAUACUAUCGCAUUUUCUUUCUUCCUUUCUUUCCUUUCCCUCUUUUUUCUGAGACAGGGUCUUGCUCUGUGGCCAGGCUGGAGUGCAGUGGUAUGAUUACGACUUACUGAAGCCUUGACCUCCCCAGCUCAAGUGAUCCUUCCACCUCAACCUCCCAAGGAGCUGGGGCCACAAGCACAUGCCACCACGCCCAGCUAAUUUUUCAUAUUUUUAGUAGAUAUGGGGUUUCACCGUGUUGCCCAGGCUGGUCUCGAACCUCUAGGCUCAAGCCAUCCACCAGCAUCAGCCUCCCAAAGUGCUGGGAUUACAGGCCUAAGCCACCAUGCUCAGCCUAUCACAUUUCCUAAUCCAUGCAAACAAAAGGCUAAAACUAAGCACUAUCUUUUUUUGUUUUUGUUUUUGUUUUUAGAAAAGGGGGGUGUCUCACUAUGUUGCCCAGCUGGUCUCAAACUCCUAGUCUCAGUGAGCCUCCUGCCUCAGCCUACCAAACUGCUGGGAUUACAGGCGUGAACCACCAUGCCCAGCCAAACUCUACUUUUUAAUACAUGAUGAAUAUCACUUUAAAAAGAAAAAAAAACCUUAGCCAAACUAAAUUUAUUAACAGUUCUAGCAAAUACCAUCUUCAGCUGUGGAGACAACUUGCUUAGCAUAUAAACAGACCUAUGCUCCCUUAAAGGAGAGAAUGCAGGUAAUUAAAGCACUUUAGAGCAGCAGCAGAAUAUACACUGUUAUUACCAAAAAAUGGAAAUAACCAUUACUGAGAACAGAAAAUACUCAAGUCUCACUUGCUGUAGAAAAAAUAUUUCAACAGCAAACAUAACCAUAUACUAGAAUUCAAGAGUAGGAAAUAGCCGGGCACGGAGGGUCACGCCUGUAAUCCCAGCACUUUGGGAGGCCAAGACAGGCGGAUCACCUGAGGUCAGGAGUUCAAGACCAACCUGGCCAACAUGUUGAAACCCCGUCUCUACAAACACACAAAAAUUAGCCGGGCAUGAU
Molecule: long non-coding RNA, 1932 nt
Filed under: Homo sapiens (human)
Lineage: Eukaryota; Metazoa; Chordata; Mammalia; Primates; Hominidae
Description: HSALNT0046213
Source: RNAcentral